UCUUCAUCUAUUCUUUCAAGGAAUGAUUUGUUAUUUCUUUAUCCUAAAUUAUCACUUCUCUCUAAACAGUUUUUAAAAUGUUCUAUACAUUCUUCUAUUUUCAUUUCAUCCUUUUGACAUCCUUUACAUUUAAAAGUUAUAUAUUUAUAUUCUUCUGCUAAAUUUUCAGCUUUUUCUAUGACCAUGUCUACUUCAUAUCCUACUUGUAGAACUUCUAUAUUCAUAAACUCGCUCUCUGUUUCUAUAUUACUCUCUAUUUCUUCUUCGUCUAAAUUUCUUUUAGUUGCGUAACUAUAAUCUGUAAA
RNAcentral lists this long non-coding RNA (305 nucleotides) under Capsicum annuum. RNAcentral's name for it is "long non-coding RNA (CANN_LNC004911)". The record is from RNAcentral. Lineage: Eukaryota; Viridiplantae; Streptophyta; Magnoliopsida; Solanales; Solanaceae.